Eptesicus fuscus (big brown bat) is the source of this 637-nucleotide long non-coding RNA. RefSeq lists it as uncharacterized. The record is from RefSeq and is a predicted model, not a curated record. The transcript is spliced from 3 exons. Lineage: Eukaryota; Metazoa; Chordata; Mammalia; Chiroptera; Vespertilionidae.
UGUUGUUAUGACUGAAUAGGGUGUCUGGUGCCUGCCAUGUGUGCUUUUCAUCUGAAGAUCUCCAAGCACUUAACUAUAAGUUACUGGGCUUCACAAACACUGAGACACAUCUGUAUAAUUAGUCAGGAUUUAUGAGUUACAAGCCACUGGAUGAGCUCAAGGUCCUGGGAAUGGGUGUAUUCCACAGGAGACUGGUUCCCUCUACCGUGUCCUGAAAUCAGAAGACCCAUAGGACAGAGCUGCAGCCUGCUCACAACAUACAUAAUAAGUCAUAAAUGAAUCUUUGCUGCUAUAAGCCACUGAGACUUUUGGGAUUGGUUGUGACUACAGCAAAGCUGACUAAUAAUCAUACCUGGAAAAUGGUAUCAACUUUGAAAGAUCAAGUUUGAAAGCCCUGUGUCUGAUGCAUAAUAAACUUUGAAUUGAAGUUGGUCCUAGACUCUUGGAAAGCUUUGAGGAGCUACCACUGGUUGAGUGCCUGUGAUGUGAGAGGGCUCUUUCACCUAUCAAAUCAUCACAAUAACUAUGCAAGGUGCUAUUAGAUUUUACAGACAAAGAAACUGAAACUCUAAGAGUAACUUACCCAAGGUUUCUCAGAAUAAUCUCAUUGUACAACCCAUAUCUUAUCCAAUAUAAC